This 505-nucleotide ribosomal RNA is filed under the name uncultured bacterium. RNAcentral's name for it is "bacterial SSU rRNA". It matches the Rfam family "Bacterial small subunit ribosomal RNA", at positions 28 to 533 of the family's 1533-position model. The record is from RNAcentral.
GAUGAACGCUAGCGGCAGGCUUAACACAUGCAAGUCGAGGGGCAGCACGUCUUCGGAUGGUGGCGACCGGCGCACGGGUGAGUAACGCGUAUGCAAUCUACCUUUUACAGGGGCAUAGCCCGGGGAAACCCGGAUUAAUAUCCUAUAGUACCAUUAUAUAGCAUUAUAUUAUGGUUAAAGUUUCGGCGGUAAAAGAUGAGCAUGCGUCCUAUUAGCUUGAUGGUAAGGUAACGGCUUACCAUGGCUAUGAUAGGUAGGGGUCCUGAGAGGGAGACCCCCACACUGGUACUGAGACACGGACCAGACUCCUACGGGAGGCAGCAGUGAGGAAUAUUGGACAAUGGGCGCAAGCCUGAUCCAGCCAUGCCGCGUGCAGGAAGACGGCCCUAUGGGUUGUAAACUGCUUUUAUACGGGAAGAAACACCCCUUCGUGAAGGGACUUGACGGUACCGUAUGAAUAAGGAUCGGCUAACUCCGUGCCAGCAGCCGCGGUAAUACGGAGGAU